Molecule: long non-coding RNA, 761 nt
Organism: Rhinopithecus roxellana (golden snub-nosed monkey)
Lineage: Eukaryota; Metazoa; Chordata; Mammalia; Primates; Cercopithecidae
Exons: 3
Source: RefSeq, a predicted model, not a curated record
UCCAUCUGUAGAGAAAAGUUUAUAUUAAUGAAAUAAACAGCCAGGUUUUCUCUGAGCCUCUUCCACUUAUCUUAGCAGAUCCAGGAGAGCUGAACUAAACAUAGGUUUUCAUCUAUUCUUUCUGAGAGCUGUUACUUGUGAGUUUUCAACUGUAUAAUAAAGCCCUUAUGCCUUUCUCUCUUUCUGUCUCUCCCAUAACCUGUCUUAGCCAUGCAACAAGCCCUUAUUCUUCCUGCAACCUCAAGAUGUAAUAAAAGCAUCAACUGGUCUCUCUUCCAAGAUGGCCGAAUAGGAACAGCUCUGGUCUGCAGCUCCCAGUGAGACUGACACAAAAGAUGGUUGACUUUCAUUGAAUGUUCAGAGGACAAAAGGACAGAUUUCACUUGGCCCCUACAGUUUUGGCACUAUGAGCAGGGCAACUGAAACUGCUCUGUUCUUCUGGAAGCCACAGUCCAGGGAAGCCAGUAUCUGACACGCCAGCAGAAGGAAAUACCUCUUAUUGAAGAUCUGUUUGUCUGCAUUAUAAAUAGAGGCCUCCCUGUGAGAGUUCAUCUGCAAUAUCACCUUCUGAAAUGAGACACAGCUAUUUAACAGAACUGACCUAUUCGCAGGACUAAGACUGAUUCGAGAAGAUAUGGGCUGCUUGUUCCAAUCUGUGUUGUCCUUCCCAGAUUGCCAAUCUCACAUUUCUUAUCUGAAUCUCUCUAAAACUACUCACUUGGGCUUUAAUAUGUGAAACUUUCUAAAAAUAAAGUUUUAAA